Molecule: long non-coding RNA, 545 nt
Organism: Oncorhynchus keta (chum salmon)
Lineage: Eukaryota; Metazoa; Chordata; Actinopteri; Salmoniformes; Salmonidae
Exons: 5
Source: RefSeq, a predicted model, not a curated record
GCAGGAGGCACAGAUACAGAUAGCACUGUUACAGGUAGGCAGGAGGCACAGAGACAGAUAGCACUGCUACAGGUAGGCAGGAGACACAGAGACAGAUAGCACUGUUACAGGUAGGCAGGAGACACAGAGACAGAUAGCACUGUUACAGGUAGGCAGGAGACACAGAGACAGAUAGCACUGUUACAGGUAGGCAGGAGACACAGAGACAGAUAGCACUGUUACAGGUAGGCAGGAGGCACAGAUACAGAUAGCACUGUUACAGGUAGGCAGGAGGCACAGAUACAGAUAGCACUGUUACAGGUAGGCAGGAGGCACAGAGACAGAUAGCACUGUUACAGGUAGGCAGGAGGCACAGAGACAGAUAGCACUGUUACAGGUAGGCAGGCGGCACAGAUACAGAUAGCACUGCUACAGGUAGGCAGGAGGCACAGAUACAGAUAGCACUGUUACAGGUAGGCAGGAGGCACAGAGACAGAUAGCACUGCUACAGGUAGGCAGGAGACACAGAGACAGAUAGCACUGUUACAGGUAGGCAGGAGGCACAG